UAUCUCUUCGCUAAAUGAACCGUUAGCCUCAUGGAAUAACUUAAACUCGGAAGAGUAGCAAAUAGUAAAUGAUUACAUUGCCAUGAGCUACCUGUGCUAUAUCAAUAAUCACAAUUCCGAAAGGAUGAGAAAACCUCCAACUAUUUCCUUAAUUUUUGCCCGAUAUAUGCAUGAUCUAUCGACAAUCUAACAAGGACACAAAUUAAUGAUUCCUUAGUUUGAAAAUCAGGGGAAAAUGAUAAUAAUUCUAAAAGAUGUGAAUUAAAGAAAAUAUGCAAAUGAUGUAUCUACCGUACAAGGAUGUUAUCACCAACGUCAUACGAUAAAGUUAGCAAAGAAGACCAUUCCCUAAUUCAAGAGAUCCAGAGCUUUGGUUUGUUGGGUCUAAAAUGCCAAUUGCCACAAGAUGUGAAGGGUAUCUUGGAACAUCCAUUUUAACAGUCAAGACAUGGUAUUAACCAAUGCAACCAAGGCCUUGGAACUACCUUGGGACUGCAUUUCCUGUAGGAACUUACUUACAUACAAAAUAACAAUUUCGUAACAUGGCAGAAAUAAUAUUUUCAUACGUUGAGCUAUAUGCACAGAGAUGGUCUCUACGUUCUUAAAAUGCUCCAAACAAAAAUAUGGUUCAAGGAUAACAGAUUGAGGAUUUGCUUUUUGGUCCCAACAACGCUCUCUUCAUUAGGUCAACAAAAAGGCAUUUACAAACCAAGAACAUGAAGCAUAAUUGCAUUUUGCGCAUGCAUCCGGUUCUCAGCUUGGGGGAAUACAAUGGAGUUUGGUGCUUCAAUCACGCCAUCAGUAACUUCAACUCCUCUUUCCGCUGGCAAACAGUGCAUGAAAUAUGCUUUUUGUCCGGCUAGUUUCAUCAGUUCUUCAUCCACCUGUAGAGAAAUAAUAAUACAUAAUGCCAAGCAGACUUCAACUCCUCUUUCCGCUGGCAAGCAGUGCAUGAAAUACGCUUUUUGUCCAGCUAGUUUCAUCAGUUCUUCAUCCACCUGUAGAGAAAUAAUAAUACAUAAUGUCAAGCAUGUGCUGCAGUGUUGGUGUGACAUCGAUAAAUGCUUCUGAGUACAGGGGGCAUACAAUUUAUUUUGACAAGUUAGGCAGAGUUCAAAUUUGUUUCGAUAAUAUAAAACAACGGAUUGAGAUUAUUGCUUGCUUUUGAUUCUUCUCAAGUUGUAUAUCAGAACUAGAAAGGGUAUCGCACUAACCCAAAAACAGGAAAUAUAGCCAUCUUAA
Molecule: long non-coding RNA, 1242 nt
Filed under: Nicotiana benthamiana
Lineage: Eukaryota; Viridiplantae; Streptophyta; Magnoliopsida; Solanales; Solanaceae
Description: long non-coding RNA (NBEN_LNC041489)
Source: RNAcentral